RNAcentral lists this ribosomal RNA (497 nucleotides) under uncultured bacterium. RNAcentral's name for it is "partial 16S ribosomal RNA". It matches the Rfam family "Bacterial small subunit ribosomal RNA", at positions 39 to 507 of the family's 1533-position model. The record is from RNAcentral.
GAAGAAAGAAGCAGGCUUUCCUAAUACAUGCAAUUCGAUCGAACAGAUGAGGAGCUUGCUCCUCUGACGUUAGCGGCGGACGGUUGAUUAACACUUUGAUAACCUACCUAUAAGACUUUGAUAACUUCUUUAAACCUUAUCUAAUACCUUAUAAUAUAUUUAACCUCAUUUUUCAAUCUUUAAAUACUUUUUUGCUUUCACUUAUCUAUGGAUCCGCGCCUCAUUAGCUAGUUUGUAAGGUAACGGCUUACCAAGGCGACGAUGCGUAGCCUACCUGAGAGGGUGAUAGGCCACAAUGGAACUGAGCAAAGGUCCAGACUAAUAAGGGAGGCAGCAGUAGGGAAUCUUAAGAAAUGGGCGAAAGCCUGACGGAGCAACGCCGCGUGAGUGAUGAAGGUCUUCGGAUCGUAAAAAUAUGUUAUUAGGGAAGAACAAAUGUGUAAGUAAAUAUGCACGUCUUGACGGUACCUAAUCAGAAAGCAAAGGAGAAAUACGGG